UCCUUGAUAGCUAAGUUGGUAAAGAAUAUGCCUGCAAUGCAGGAGACCCUGGUUUGAUUCCUGGUUUGGGGA
RNAcentral lists this transfer RNA (72 nucleotides) under Bos taurus (domestic cattle). It matches the Rfam family "tRNA". From Rfam's summary of the family: Transfer RNA (tRNA) molecules are approximately 80 nucleotides in length. Their secondary structure includes four short double-helical elements and three loops (D, anti-codon, and T loops). The record is from Rfam by way of RNAcentral. RNAcentral also lists the same sequence under 5 other names. Lineage: Eukaryota; Metazoa; Chordata; Mammalia; Artiodactyla; Bovidae.